AGUGAACGCUGGCGGCAGGCCUAACACAUGCAAGUCGAGCGGCAGCGCGGGGGCAACCCUGGCGGCGAGCGGCGGACGGGUGAGGAAUACAUCGGAAUCUACCCAGUCGUGGGGGAUAACGUAGGGAAACUUACGCUAAUACCGCAUACGACCUGAGGGUGAAAGCAGGGGACCGCAAGGCCUUGCGCGAUUGGAUGAGCCGAUGUCCGAUUAGCUAGUUGGUGAGGUAAAGGCUCACCAAGGCGACGAUCGGUAGCUGGUCUGAGAGGAUGAUCAGCCACACUGGAACUGAGACACGGUCCAGACUCCUACGGGAGGCAGCAGUGGGGAAUAUUGGACAAUGGGCGCAAGCCUGAUCCAGCCAUGCCGCGUGUGUGAAGAAGGCCUUUGGGUUGUAAAGCACUUUUGUUCGGGAAGAAAUCUUCCGACCUAAUACGUCGGGAGGAUGACGGUACCGAAAGAAUAAGCACCGGCUAACUUCGUGCCAGCAGCCGAC
Molecule: ribosomal RNA, 496 nt
Filed under: uncultured bacterium
Lineage: Bacteria
Description: bacterial SSU rRNA
Rfam family: Bacterial small subunit ribosomal RNA
Source: RNAcentral